Molecule: long non-coding RNA, 635 nt
Organism: Budorcas taxicolor (takin)
Lineage: Eukaryota; Metazoa; Chordata; Mammalia; Artiodactyla; Bovidae
Exons: 3
Source: RefSeq, a predicted model, not a curated record
CACAAGCUCUUGGGGACCAGGCUUGCCUCUGGCUGGGGAAAGUGAAAGCAGCAGAAGGGGUUCGUCAUGGGGUAUAACGUCGUGUUUCCCCCAUAAACACGGAACAGUCUCAGGUGGCCUGAAUAACAAGGCUCUACGGUUUGGUCCACAUUCCCUCCCUGGCGGCUGCUUUGACCACCAAAUGUGAUUUAAACAGAGCAAAAGCUCCUCUGGUGGCUCAGAGGUUAAAGCAUCUGCCUCCAAUGCGGGAGACCCAGGUUCGAUCCCUGGGUCAGGAAGAUCCCCUGGAGAAGGAAAUGGCAAUCCACUCCAGUAUUCUUGCCUGGAGAAUCCCAUGGACGGAGAAGCCUAGUAGGUUACAGUCCACAGGGUUGCAAAGAGUCGGACACGACUGAGCAACUUCACCUUCACCUUAGCUAAUAUUUUACUGAAAACCUAUUAUGUGCCCAACACUGUUACUCAAGGAUAAUUUUUAGCUUCCCAAAUAUAUCUGAAAUUUCUAAUGUGAAAAUUUAUUCUCAAAAAAAAUUUUGUAAGAAAAGCUUCAGUAUCAAAGUGUAAAAAUACAAGACUGUGACUUUUCAUACCCACAUGUGAUCCAGAGGUCACAUAUCUGUGCCUCUGUUUCUUUAUCU